This 406-nucleotide ribosomal RNA is filed under the name uncultured eukaryote. RNAcentral describes it as "SSU rRNA". It matches the Rfam family "Eukaryotic small subunit ribosomal RNA", at positions 567 to 973 of the family's 1831-position model. The record is from RNAcentral.
CCAGCAGCUGCGGUAAUUCCAGCUCCAAUAGCGUCUAUUAAAGUUGUUGCAGUUAAAAAGCUCGUAGUUGGAUUUCUGGCUCUGGGGGCGCGGUCCACCUCACGGUGAGCACUGUUUCUUGCCUCUGGGCUAUUCUCUUGGUUUGGGGCGGUGGCCUUGAUUGGUUGCUGUUUCUGGGCAAGACCUUUACUUUGAAAAAAUUAGAGUGUUCAAAGCAGGCGUUCAGCUUGAAUACAUUAGCAUGGAAUAAUGGAAUAGGACUUUGGUUCUAUUUUGUUGGUUUCUAGGACCGAAGUAAUGAUUAAUAGGGACAGUUGGGGGCAUUAGUAUUUAAUUGUCAGAGGUGAAAUUCUUGGAUUUAUGAAAGACUAACUACUGCGAAAGCAUUUGCCAAGGAUGUUUUCAU